RNAcentral lists this ribosomal RNA (297 nucleotides) under uncultured bacterium. RNAcentral's name for it is "partial 16S ribosomal RNA". It matches the Rfam family "Bacterial small subunit ribosomal RNA", at positions 333 to 621 of the family's 1533-position model. The record is from RNAcentral.
GUCUACCUACGGGGGGCAGCAGUAGGGAAUUUUCGUCAAUGGGCGCAAGCCUGAACGAGCAAUGCCGCGUGAGUGAGGAAGGUCUUCGGAUCGUAAAGCUCUGUUGCGGGGGGAAAAAGGACAGAAAGAGGAAAAGCUUUCUGUUUGAUGGUACCCCGCCAGAAAGUCACGGCUAACUACGUGCCAGCAGCCGCGGUAAUACGUAGGUGGCGAGCGCUAUCCGGAAUGAUUGGGCGUAAAGGGUGCGCAGGCGGCAUGUCAAGUCUGAAGUGAAAGGUACGGGCUUAACCUGUACAG